This 253-nucleotide ribosomal RNA is filed under the name uncultured bacterium. Its description in RNAcentral is "partial 16S ribosomal RNA". It matches the Rfam family "Bacterial small subunit ribosomal RNA", at positions 524 to 776 of the family's 1533-position model. The record is from RNAcentral.
UACGGGGGGGGCAAGCGUUGUUCGGAAUUACUGGGCGUAAAGGGUUUGUAGGUGGCUUGCUAAGUCAGACGUGAAAUCCCUCAGCUUAACUGGGGAACUGCGUCUGAUACUGGUGAGCUUGAGUGCAGGAGAGGAACGCGGAAUUCCAGGUGUAGCGGUGAAAUGCGUAGAUAUCAGGAGGAACACCGGUGGUGUAGACGGCUUUCUGGACCGUAACUGACGCUGAGACACGAAAGCGUGGGUAGCAAACAGG